Molecule: ribosomal RNA, 444 nt
Filed under: uncultured bacterium
Lineage: Bacteria
Description: partial 16S ribosomal RNA
Rfam family: Bacterial small subunit ribosomal RNA
Source: RNAcentral
GUCGAACGAUGAAGCCCAGCUUGCUGGGUGGAUUAGUGGCGAACGGGUGAGUAACACGUGGGCAACCUGCCCCAAACUCUGGGAUAACUCCUCGAAAGAGGUGCUAAUACCGGAUACGAACUAGACAGACAUCUGUACUAGUUGGAAAGUUUUUCGGUUUGGGAUGGGCCCGCGGCCUAUCAGCUUGUUGGUGAGGUAACGGCUCACCAAGGCUACGACGGGUAACCGGCCUGAGAGGGCGACCGGUCACACUGGGACUGAGACACGGCCCAGACUCCUACGGGAGGCAGCAGUGGGGAAUAUUGGACAAUGGGCGCAAGCCUGAUCCAGCCAUGCCGCGUGAGUGAUGAAGGCCCUAGGGUUGUAAAGCUCUUUCGGCGGGGACGAUAAUGACGGUACCCGCAGAAGAAGCCCCGGCUAACUUCGUGCCAGCCGCCGCGGUAA